This 26-nucleotide small RNA is filed under the name Pantoea ananatis. The record is from RNAcentral. Lineage: Bacteria; Pseudomonadati; Pseudomonadota; Gammaproteobacteria; Enterobacterales; Erwiniaceae.
AGCAAAAACCCCGCUUGCGCGGGGUU